RNAcentral lists this transfer RNA (77 nucleotides) under Clostridium sp. RNAcentral describes it as "tRNA-Asp". It matches the Rfam family "tRNA". Rfam says of the family: Transfer RNA (tRNA) molecules are approximately 80 nucleotides in length. Lineage: Bacteria; Bacillati; Bacillota; Clostridia; Eubacteriales; Clostridiaceae. RNAcentral also lists the same sequence under 15 other names. The record is from RNAcentral.
GGCUCGGUAGUUCAGCUGGUUAGAACGCUAGCCUGUCACGCUAGAGGUCGACGGUUCGAUCCCGUUCCGAGUCGCCA